Molecule: ribosomal RNA, 2907 nt
Filed under: Klebsiella oxytoca
Lineage: Bacteria; Pseudomonadati; Pseudomonadota; Gammaproteobacteria; Enterobacterales; Enterobacteriaceae
Description: 23S ribosomal RNA
Rfam family: Bacterial large subunit ribosomal RNA
Source: RNAcentral
GGUUAAGCGACUAAGCGUACACGGUGGAUGCCCUGGCAGUCAGAGGCGAUGAAGGACGUGCUAAUCUGCGAAAAGCGUCGGUAAGGUGAUAUGAACCGUUACAGCCGGCGAUGUCCGAAUGGGGAAACCCAGUGCAAUUCGUUGCACUAUCGUUAACUGAAUACAUAGGUUAACGAGGCGAACCGGGGGAACUGAAACAUCUAAGUACCCCGAGGAAAAGAAAUCAACCGAGAUUCCCCCAGUAGCGGCGAGCGAACGGGGAGCAGCCCGGAGUCUGAAUCAGCUUGUGUGUUAGUGGAAGCGUCUGGAAAGUCGCAGGGUACAGGGUGAUACUCCCGUACACUAAAACACACAGGUUGUGAACUCGAAGAGUAGGGCGGGACACGUGGUAUCCUGUCUGAAUAUGGGGGGACCAUCCUCCAAGGCUAAAUACUCCUGACUGACCGAUAGUGAACCAGUACCGUGAGGGAAAGGCGAAAAGAACCCCGGCGAGGGGAGUGAAAAAGAACCUGAAACCGUGUACGUACAAGCAGUAGGAGCCCACUAGUUGGGUGACUGCGUACCUUUUGUAUAAUGGGUCAGCGACUUAUAUUCUGUAGCAAGGUUAACCGUAUAGGGGAGCCGCAGGGAAACCGAGUCUUAACUGGGCGUUAAGUUGCAGGGUAUAGACCCGAAACCCGGUGAUCUAGCCAUGGGCAGGUUGAAGGUUGGGUAACACUAACUGGAGGACCGAACCGACUAAUGUUGAAAAAUUAGCGGAUGACUUGUGGCUGGGGGUGAAAGGCCAAUCAAACCGGGAGAUAGCUGGUUCUCCCCGAAAGCUAUUUAGGUAGCGCCUCGUGAACUCAUCUUCGGGGGUAGAGCACUGUUUCGGCUAGGGGGUCAUCCCGACUUACCAACCCGAUGCAAACUACGAAUACCGAAGAAUGUUAUCACGGGAGACACACGGCGGGUGCUAACGUCCGUCGUGAAGAGGGAAACAACCCAGACCGCCAGCUAAGGUCCCAAAGUCAUGGUUAAGUGGGAAACGAUGUGGGAAGGCCCAGACAGCCAGGAUGUUGGCUUAGAAGCAGCCAUCAUUUAAAGAAAGCGUAAUAGCUCACUGGUCGAGUCGGCCUGCGCGGAAGAUGUAACGGGGCUAAACCAUGCACCGAAGCUGCGGCAGCGACGCUUAUGCGUUGUUGGGUAGGGGAGCGUUCUGUAAGCCGUUGAAGGUGGCCUGUGAGGGUUGCUGGAGGUAUCAGAAGUGCGAAUGCUGACAUAAGUAACGAUAAUGCGGGUGAAAAACCCGCACGCCGGAAGACCAAGGGUUCCUGUCCAACGUUAAUCGGGGCAGGGUGAGUCGACCCCUAAGGCGAGGCCGAAAGGCGUAGUCGAUGGGAAACAGGUUAAUAUUCCUGUACUUGGUGUUACUGCGAAGGGGGGACGGAGAAGGCUAUGUUGGCCGGGCGACGGUUGUCCCGGUUUAAGCAUGUAGGCGGAUGUUCCAGGUAAAUCCGGAACGUUACUAACGCUGAGGUGUGAUGACGAGGCACUACGGUGCUGAAGUGACAAAUGCCCUGCUUCCAGGAAAAGCCUCUAAGCAUCAGGUAACAUCAAAUCGUACCCCAAACCGACACAGGUGGUCAGGUAGAGAAUACCAAGGCGCUUGAGAGAACUCGGGUGAAGGAACUAGGCAAAAUGGUGCCGUAACUUCGGGAGAAGGCACGCUGAUGGUAGGUGAAGUGACUUGCUCAUGGAGCUGAAAUCAGUCGAAGAUACCAGCUGGCUGCAACUGUUUAUUAAAAACACAGCACUGUGCAAACACGAAAGUGGACGUAUACGGUGUGACGCCUGCCCGGUGCCGGAAGGUUAAUUGAUGGGGUUAUCCUCGCGGAGAAGCUCUUGAUCGAAGCCCCGGUAAACGGCGGCCGUAACUAUAACGGUCCUAAGGUAGCGAAAUUCCUUGUCGGGUAAGUUCCGACCUGCACGAAUGGCGUAAUGAUGGCCAGGCUGUCUCCACCCGAGACUCAGUGAAAUUGAACUCGCUGUGAAGAUGCAGUGUACCCGCGGCAAGACGGAAAGACCCCGUGAACCUUUACUAUAGCUUGACACUGAACACUGGUCCUUGAUGUGUAGGAUAGGUGGGAGGCUUUGAAGUGUGGACGCCAGUCUGCAUGGAGCCAUCCUUGAAAUACCACCCUUUAAUGGCUGGUGUUCUAACGUGGGCCCGUGAUCCGGGUUGCGGACAGUGUCUGGUGGGUAGUUUGACUGGGGCGGUCUCCUCCUAAAGAGUAACGGAGGAGCACGAAGGUCAGCUAAUCCUGGUCGGACAUCAGGAGGUUAGUGCAAUGGCAUAAGCUGGCUUGACUGCGAGCGUGACGGCGCGAGCAGGUGCGAAAGCAGGUCAUAGUGAUCCGGUGGUUCUGAAUGGAAGGGCCAUCGCUCAACGGAUAAAAGGUACUCCGGGGAUAACAGGCUGAUACCGCCCAAGAGUUCAUAUCGACGGCGGUGUUUGGCACCUCGAUGUCGGCUCAUCACAUCCUGGGGCUGAAGUAGGUCCCAAGGGUAUGGCUGUUCGCCAUUUAAAGUGGUACGCGAGCUGGGUUUAGAACGUCGUGAGACAGUUCGGUCCCUAUCUGCCGUGGGCGCUGGAGAAUUGAGGGGGGCUGCUCCUAGUACGAGAGGACCGGAGUGGACGCAUCACUGGUGUUCGGGUUGUCAUGCCAAUGGCAUUGCCCGGUAGCUAAAUGCGGAAGAGAUAAGUGCUGAAAGCAUCUAAGCACGAAACUUGCCCCGAGAUGAGUUCUCCCUGACUCCUUGAGAGUCCUGAAGGAACGUUGAAGACGACGACGUUGAUAGGCCGGGUGUGUAAGCGCAGCGAUGCGUUGAGCUAACCGGUACUAAUGAACCGUGAGGCUUAACCUU